GGGCUAUUUCGGAGAUCAGUAGCCCUGUUGAUCGAGCAGUUUUAUCAGAAGACACUUGUGAUGGCAUUCCAAAGGCCAGGAGGUCCACAUCUGUGAGCUGUGAAAAGUCUGGUCAUAUGGAUAAUGAAUCCAGUCAUGAUUCAAAUGUGUCAAAGCCAACUGAGCAUAAAUCUGUGCCAUCAUCCUCUUCAUAUCCUCAUCUACC
RNAcentral lists this unclassified non-coding RNA (205 nucleotides) under Hevea brasiliensis (rubber tree). Lineage: Eukaryota; Viridiplantae; Streptophyta; Magnoliopsida; Malpighiales; Euphorbiaceae. The record is from RNAcentral.